CAAGUCUUUGCAGGGCCAAUAAAGCAAGCUGAGCGGAACGAUGGGAGCUUGCUCCAGGCGUGAGCGGCGGAGGGAGAGCGCCUGGUGGGAAUCUGCCCAUUAGUGGGGGAUAACUGGAGGAAAGACGGUCGGAGCUAAUACCGCAUAAUCCCUACGGGGGAAAGCAGGGGAUCUUCGGACCUUGCGCUGAUGGAUGAGCCCGCGUCGGAUUAGCUUGUUGGUGGGGUAACGGCCCACCAAGGCGACGAUCCGUAACUGGUCUGAGAGGAUGGCCAGUCACACCGGGACUGAGACACGGCCCGGACUCCUACGGGAGGCAGCAGUGGGGAAUCUUGGACAAUGGGCGCAAGCCUGAUCCAGCCAUGCCGCGUGUGUGAAGAAGGCCUUCGGGUUGUAAAGCACUUUCAGUAGGGAGGAAGGCUUCGGGUUAAUACCCUGGAGUACUUGACGUUACCUACAGAAGAAGCACCGGCUAAUUUCGUGCCAGCAGCCGCGGUAAUACGAAAGGUGCGAGCGUUAAUCGGAAUUACUGGGCGUAAAGCGCGCGUAGGCGGUGUGUUAAGUCGGAUGUGAAAGCCCAGGGCUCAACCUUGGAAUUGCAUCCGAUACUGGCACGCUAGAGUGCAGUAGAGGGAGGUGGAAUUUCCGGUGUAGCGGUGAAAUGCGUAGAGAUCGGAAGGAACACCAGUGGCGAAGGCGGCCUCCUGGACUGACACUGACGCUGAGGUGCGAAAGCGUGGGGAGCAAACAGGAUUAGAUACCCUGGUAGUCCACGCCGUAAACGAUGUCUACUAGCCGUUGGGGUCCUUAGUGACUUUGGUGGCGCAGCUAACGCGAUAAGUAGACCGCCCUGGGGGGAGUACGGCCGCAAGGUUAAAAACCUCAAAUGAAAUUGACCGGGGUCCCGCACAGCGGUUGGAGGCAUGGUGCUUUUAAUUUCGGAAUGCCAACCGCGCGGAAAGAGAACAACCCCUUUUUCUAA
Molecule: ribosomal RNA, 982 nt
Filed under: Alloalcanivorax dieselolei
Lineage: Bacteria; Pseudomonadati; Pseudomonadota; Gammaproteobacteria; Oceanospirillales; Alcanivoracaceae
Description: bacterial SSU rRNA
Rfam family: Bacterial small subunit ribosomal RNA
Source: RNAcentral